AGAGAUUUAGGUUAAAUCAGACCAAGAACCUUCAAAGUUCUAAGCGAGAGUGAAAAUCUCCCAAUCUCUG
RNAcentral lists this transfer RNA (70 nucleotides) under Omegophora armilla (ringed toadfish). RNAcentral describes it as "tRNA-Trp". It matches the Rfam family "tRNA". Rfam says of the family: Transfer RNA (tRNA) molecules are approximately 80 nucleotides in length. Their secondary structure includes four short double-helical elements and three loops (D, anti-codon, and T loops). Lineage: Eukaryota; Metazoa; Chordata; Actinopteri; Tetraodontiformes; Tetraodontidae. RNAcentral also lists the same sequence under 1 other name. The record is from RNAcentral.